RNAcentral lists this ribosomal RNA (485 nucleotides) under uncultured bacterium. RNAcentral describes it as "partial 16S ribosomal RNA". It matches the Rfam family "Bacterial small subunit ribosomal RNA", at positions 30 to 506 of the family's 1533-position model. The record is from RNAcentral.
AUUGAACGCUGGCGGCAUGCCUUACACAUGCAAGUCGAACGGCAGCACGGGUGCUUGCACCUGGUGGCGAGUGGCGAACGGGUGAGUAAUACAUCGGAACAUGUCCUGUAGUGGGGGAUAGCCCGGCGAAAGCCGGAUUAAUACCGCAUACGAUCCACGGAUGAAAGCGGGGGACCUUCGGGCCUCGCGCUAUAGGGUUGGCCGAUGGCUGAUUAGCUAGUUGGUGGGGUAAAGGCCUACCAAGGCGACGAUCAGUAGCUGGUCUGAGAGGACGACCAGCCACACUGGGACUGAGACACGGCCCAGACUCCUACGGGAGGCAGCAGUGGGGAAUUUUGGACAAUGGGCGAAAGCCUGAUCCAGCAAUGCCGCGUGUGUGAAGAAGGACUUCGGGUUGUAAAGCACUUUUGUCCGGAAAGAAAUCCUUGACUCUAAUACAGUCGGGGGAUGACGGUACCGGAAGAAUAAGCACCGGCUAACUACGU